This 829-nucleotide long non-coding RNA is filed under the name Nicotiana tabacum (common tobacco). RNAcentral's name for it is "long non-coding RNA (NTAB_LNC009868)". Lineage: Eukaryota; Viridiplantae; Streptophyta; Magnoliopsida; Solanales; Solanaceae. The record is from RNAcentral.
GCUCCGCUUAUCUGUGUGUGCAGUCCUUGCCAAAGAAGAACAUUAAGGUAAAGACGAAGUGCUUAUAGGUGCGGGAGCUACUACUUUCAAAUCACUACACAGCGUCUACCAGUGACGAACCUGUCCAAAAAGCUACUCCUGGUUGAGGUAAAAAGUCAUUAUUCCUCCAGAAUCCAUUGUACCCACAUCUGAUCGUGAAAUAUUAGCUUCGCAGCUAUGCAUGCAUAAUCAAUCACUUACAUAUCAAAGGCAGCACAGGUGCAGAAGCGAAUACAAGAGUUGACGAUAUUGUACCUGCGUAUGAUACCCCACGGAACACUUUACCAGUGUUUCUACAUGAAUUCUGUCCUUCUUCCACCUUUUCUCCCUGAGUACGGCUUAAAUGCAUUGUUACGUUACGCCAAACAGGUAACUCUUAUUCUAAAUGCAAUAUUUGAAGCAUUACUAAGAGCAUAUGCAACAUAAAACAUAUGAAUUACACUGGUCCUUGAAUAUACUAAGUUGAUGCUAAUUGAUAACAAAAUGUCCUUGGGCCUAAUAAGUUAUGGCUAAUUGAUUAAUAAUAGAAAUCUUAAAGAUUUUAUGACAUAAUCGCUAGAAUUAAGCAUGAUGAUGACAAGAAAGCAGAACGGAAACCAACCUAGGCCAGGCUGUUUCAAUAGAAACUUUACACAAAACAACUACUUCACUAAGCAAAUCUUGAUAACUGAUGCAGCACCAAUCCGAUGAAGAGCCACAACAGAAUCACCAGGCGUGCAAAGCCCUUUCUCUGUGGCUGAUUUCAAGGAAGCUUGCAAGAUCACCUCAGUUGAUUCAGCAUCAGUCGCCU